Molecule: ribosomal RNA, 455 nt
Filed under: uncultured bacterium
Lineage: Bacteria
Description: bacterial SSU rRNA
Rfam family: Bacterial small subunit ribosomal RNA
Source: RNAcentral
UACGGAAGGCAGCAGUGGGGAAUAUUGCACAAUGGGCGAAAGCCUGAUGCAGCUAUGCCGCGUGUAUGAAGAAGGCCUUAGGGUUGUAAAGUACUUUCAUCGGGGAGGAAAAACAAAACUAAUAAUUUUAUUUCUUGACGUUACCCGAAAAAGAAGCACCGGCUAACUCCGUGCCAGCAGCCGCGGUAAUACGGAGGGUGCUAGCGUUAAUCAGAAUUACUGGGCGUAAAGAGCACGUAGGUGGUUUUUUUAAAGUCAGAUGUGAAAUCCCUGGGCUUAACCUAGGAACUGCAUUUUGAAACUGAAAUACUAGAGUAUCGUAGAGGGAGGUAGAAUUCUAGGUGUAGCGGUGAAAUGCGUAGAUAUCUGGAGGAUACCUGUGGCGAAAGCGGCCUCCUAAACGAAUACUGACACUGAGGUGCGAAAGCGUGGGGAGCAAACAGGGAUUAGAUACC